Molecule: ribosomal RNA, 1185 nt
Filed under: Symmetrospora clarorosea
Lineage: Eukaryota; Fungi; Basidiomycota; Cystobasidiomycetes; Symmetrosporaceae
Description: SSU rRNA
Rfam family: Eukaryotic small subunit ribosomal RNA
Source: RNAcentral
UUGCCGUUAAAAAGCUCGUAGUCGAACUUCGGCCUUUGCCGCCCGGUCCGCCUAUUUGGGUGUGUACUGGAGCGGUGGAGGCUUACCUCGUGGUGAACGGCCAUGCUCUUUACUGGGUGUGGUCGGGAACCAUGACUUUUACUUUGAAAAAAUUAAAGUGUUCAAAGCAGGCUUACGCCCGAAUACAUUAGCAUGGAAUAAUAAAAUAGGACGUGCGGUUCUAUUUUGUUGGUUUCUAGGAUCGCCGUAAUGAUUAAUAGGGAUAGUUGGGGGCAUUCGUAUUCAAUUGCUAGAGGUGAAAUUCUUGGAUUUAUUGAAGACGAACUACUGCGAAAGCAUUUGCCAAGGAUGUUUUCAUUGAUCAAGAACGAAGGUUAGGGGAUCGAAAACGAUCAGAUACCGUUGUAGUCUUAACAGUAAACGAUGCCGACUAGGGAUCGGACGAGGAUUUUUAAUGACUCGUUCGGCACCUGAAGAGAAAUCUUUAAGUCAUGGUUCGGGGGGGAGUAUGGUCGCAAGGCUGAAACUUAAAGGAAUUGACGGAAGGGCACCACCAUGGUGUGGAGCCUGCGGCUUAAUUUGACUCAACACGGGGAAACUCACCAGGUCCAGACACGACAAGGAUUGACAGAUUGAUAGCUCUUUCUUGAUUUCGUGGUUGGUGGUGCAUGGCCGUUCUUAGUUGGUGGAGUGAUUUGUCUGGUUAAUUCCGAUAACGAACGAGACCUUAACCUGCUAAAUAGCCCGGCCGACUUUGGUUGGUCGCUGGCUUCUUAGAGGGACUAUCGGCGUUUAGCCGAUGGAAGUUUGAGGCAAUAACAGGUCUGUGAUGCCCUUAGAUGUUCUGGGCCGCACGCGCGCUACACUGACCGAACCAGCGAGUUUAUCACCUUGGCCGGAAGGCCUGGGUAAUCUUGUGAAACUCGGUCGUGAUGGGGAUAGAGCAUUGCAAUUAUUGCUCUUCAACGAGGAAUACCUAGUAAGCGUGAGUCAUCAGCUCGCGUUGAAUUCGUCCCUGCCCUUUGUACACACCGCCCGUCGCUACUACCGAUUGAAUGGCUUAGUGAGGUCUCCGGAUUGGCUUCUGGGAGCCGGCAACGGCACCUAGUCGCUGAGAAGUUGCACGAACUUGGUCAUUUAGAGGAAGUAAAAGUCGUAACAAGGUUUCCGUAGGUGACCCUGCGG